This 440-nucleotide ribosomal RNA is filed under the name uncultured bacterium. RNAcentral describes it as "bacterial SSU rRNA". It matches the Rfam family "Bacterial small subunit ribosomal RNA", at positions 338 to 795 of the family's 1533-position model. The record is from RNAcentral.
CCUACGGGAGGCUGCAGUGGGGAAUAUUGGACAAUGGGGGCAACCCUGAUCCAGCAAUGCCGCGUGAGUGAUGAAGGCCUUAGGGUUGUAAAGCUCUUUUGCCAGGGACGAUGAUGACGGUACCUGGAGAAUAAGCCCCGGCUAACUUCGUGCCAGCAGCCGCGGUAAUACGAAGGGGGCGAGCGUUGUUCGGAAUUACUGGGCGUAAAGGGCGCGUAGGCGGCCGUUCAAGUUAGAUGUGAAAGUCCUGGGCUUAACCUGGGGACUGCAUUUGAUACUGGAUGGCUUGAAUUCGGGAGAGGAUAGCGGAAUUCCCAGUGUAGAGGUGAAAUUCGUAGAUAUUGGGAAGAACACCGGUGGCGAAGGCGGCUAUCUGGACCGACAUUGACGCUGAGGCGCGAAAGCGUGGGGAGCAAACAGGAUUAGAUACCCCAGUAGUC